Phascolarctos cinereus (koala) is the source of this 1310-nucleotide long non-coding RNA. RefSeq lists it as uncharacterized. NCBI's taxonomy places the organism in Eukaryota, Metazoa, Chordata, Mammalia, Diprotodontia, Phascolarctidae. The record is from RefSeq and is a predicted model, not a curated record.
UGUGAGCUCUGUGAGUCAAGAAGACAGCCAGUCCUGGACUCUGGGAACUGAGUUGCUGAUAUGAAGACACCCAGGUAACCGAGAUGGGCAGCCUGCCCAGCAGAGACAGUGUGACCACGGAGUACCAUGGGAACGUCACAAGAAAGGAAAGGACAUCGGGCCCCGCAGGCUGGUGGUGUGAUUGCCUUGACCACUUGCAUGCUCUCUUUUUAGGCCUCUUUUGGAGUACAGUCUGUGCGUGUGCCCAUUCUUCCCACUGACCCUGGGCACACUUGUGGGACAGUGUCCCCCAGGCUUGUGGAGGGAAUGUUUUGUUACUGCUGUUGAUGCUAUGGUAUUUCAGCAAAGCCUUUGAACUGAACUGUUUCCUUUUGCUGAUUUUUCAAGGUAAAUAAAUGCCGUGGUGGGGGCUUGUGAGCUAUAGUUUUAGAAGAAGGGUAUCUUGAACCUGGGGCAGUUGCCCCUGCGGGAAAGUGCAAGGUAAGGCACUGUGCCACACCGUUCAUGCCCAGUCAUCACCUAGCAGCCAAUUCUCUGACGUUCAGGUUCUUAGCACUUACGGAGAGGCUAAUCCUCUGAUGACAGACAUCUCUAGUCAAUUACUGGUACCCCACUUGAAACCUUUCCAGCUUCAUUGGACCUGCUCGUGCUUGUAUCACUGAUGUGACUCUGGGGAUGCCGGCGUUGCCUCUGUGCCCAGUGAGCAUGGCAGGAGGAUUGUGGCGUGGUUUCACAGUGGUGAAAAGACGCGGAGUCAGGAAGAGCUCUAUGUCCUCGCUGUGGGGCCAUUAGCCAAUCACUUUGUCUUCCAGGUUUCUAGUCCAUGUCCAGCUCCUGGUACUGCUUGGUAUUUUACCGUUCCUGCCUUUUGUAGCAGCUUGGAAUAAAAGAAUCAUCAAAAUCCAGGGGCAGGACAAAAGUCAAGAUGAGUGGCAAUGGCCCAGGAUGCACUGGAUGAUCUCUGAGGCGUGACCGAGCUCUAAGCGUUGCUGCUUCAGCCUCCUUCGUGGCCCUUGGAACAGAGUGUUUUCAUCCGCCUAUUUCUCAGGGAAGUCUUCUCAUGCUAAAGGCAGACAGCCCCCUAACUCAUGGGCAGUUUGAGGUCCGUUGGUUAUUCUCAACCUGUUUUAGCUUGUCUGCUGAGAGGUUUUACUGGGAUGUGGCCACCAUGCAUGGUCCAGCCUCUUGGAGCCAUAUGUGAGAGCUGGGUGAAGGUGGACCCCAAAUGUGUAUGAGCAUUCCUGAAAAGGGCUCGGCAAGCCCUCACACUAGAGGUGCUAGUCCUCCCAGGACACCCCUAGGAAAGUCAC